CACACAGGUGCUGCAUGGCUGUCGUCAGCUCGUGUCGUGAGAUGUUGGGUUAAGUCCCGCAACGAGCGCAACCCUCAUCCUUAGUUGCCAUCAUUAAGUUGGGCACUCUAAGGAAACUGCCGGUGAUAAGCCGGAGGAAGGUGGGGAUGACGUCAAGUCUUCAUGGCCCUUACGGCCUGGGCUACACACGUGCUACAAUGGCGGUGACAGAGAGUCGCGACCCUGCAAGGGGUAGCUAAUCUCCAAAAGCCGUCUCAGUUCGGAUUGUACUCUGCAACUCGAGUGCAUGAAGCUGGAAUCGCUAGUAAUCGCGCAUCAGCUCGGCGCGGUGAAUACGUUCCCGGGUCUUGUACACACCG
RNAcentral lists this ribosomal RNA (359 nucleotides) under uncultured soil bacterium. Its description in RNAcentral is "bacterial SSU rRNA". It matches the Rfam family "Bacterial small subunit ribosomal RNA", at positions 1031 to 1392 of the family's 1533-position model. The record is from RNAcentral.